AGGACAUCUGUGAAGUAGCCCACAACUGGCAAGGAAAGCUAUUCCACCUCCAGCACCAGCUGCAGGGGAAGUGGUGCCCACUACCCCAACAAGACCUCCUUUGUUGUGCUGCAAUAACUGGGAGUGGCGGCGUUUAAAGUGAUACAAUUUGAGCACAAGGUAGGGGAGCACAUGACUAAAGAGAGGACAAAGACUUGCUUAAAAUGGCUGAGUAUGAAAAACCUCUCCAGCCGCGACACCAAAGCCAAAAUGAACAUGUGCCUUGCACUAAGAAAUCCCAGGAUUGUCACAAC
This 293-nucleotide long non-coding RNA is filed under the name Anas platyrhynchos platyrhynchos (common mallard). RNAcentral's name for it is "lncRNA (ENSAPLG00000024614.1)". The record is from RNAcentral. Lineage: Eukaryota; Metazoa; Chordata; Aves; Anseriformes; Anatidae.